This 468-nucleotide ribosomal RNA is filed under the name uncultured bacterium. RNAcentral describes it as "partial 16S ribosomal RNA". It matches the Rfam family "Bacterial small subunit ribosomal RNA", at positions 36 to 507 of the family's 1533-position model. The record is from RNAcentral.
GCCUCCCUCUUUCCUCGUGCUUAACACAUGCAAGUCGAACGGAAAGGCCCUGCUUUUGUGGGGUGCUCGAGUGGCGAACGGGUGAGUAACACGUGAGUAACCUGCCCUUGACUUUGGGAUAACUUCAGGAAACUGGGGCUAAUACCGGAUAGGAGCUCCUGCUGCAUGGUGGGGGUUGGAAAGUUUCGGCGGUUGGGGAUGGACUCGCGGCUUAUCAGCUUGUUGGUGGGGUAGUGGCUUACCAAGGCUUUGACGGGUAGCCGGCCUGGGAGGGUGACCGGCCACAUUGGGACUGAGAUACGGCCCAGACUCCUACGGGAGGCAGCAGUGGGGAAUAUUGCACAAUGGGCGGAAGCCUGAUGCAGCAACGCCGCGUGCGGGAUGACGGCCUUCGGGUUGUAAACCGCUUUCGCCUGUGACGAAGCGUGAGUGACGGUAAUGGGUAAAGAAGCACCGGCCAACUACGUG